GGGUGCUGGGUGUCCGAUGCAUUCUGAUCGGGUUGUCAAUUUCUCUCCAUUGCUCUCCUUUCUUUCUUACAACCUAUCUUAGUUUUAGGACAAGGCUUUAAGAUUUAAGAUAAAGCCUUAUCUGAUCCUGACAGGGGUUGUGAGAGUUCUAAAGAGGAGAAUUAGAAGUCUAAAGAAGGGUCUUAGAGGAUGGAGUUAGAUUCUUGAAGAAACCUGAUCGGUACGAGAUGAGUCGAGUUCUAGGGGCUAGAACUCUUGAAGCA
RNAcentral lists this long non-coding RNA (263 nucleotides) under Elaeis guineensis (African oil palm). RNAcentral's name for it is "long non-coding RNA (EGUI_LNC064096)". Lineage: Eukaryota; Viridiplantae; Streptophyta; Magnoliopsida; Arecales; Arecaceae. The record is from RNAcentral.